GACGAACGUUGGCGGCGUGCUUAACACAUGCAAGUCGAGCGAGGCCCCUCCUUCGGGAGGGUGUCCUAGCGGCGAACGGGUGAGUAACACGUGGGCAACCUGCCCUCAGCUCUGGGAUAACUCCGGGAAACCGGGGCUAAUACCGGAUACGACCUCCACGGGCAUCUGCGGAGGUGGAAAGUUUUUCGGCUGAGGAUGGGCCCGCGGCCUAUCAGCUAGUUGGUGGGGUAGUGGCCCACCAAGGCGACGACGGGUAGCCGGCCUGAGAGGGCGACCGGCCACACUGGGACUGAGACACGGCCCAGACUCCUACGGGAGGCAGCAGUGGGGAAUAUUGCGCAAUGGGCGAAAGCCUGACGCAGCGACGCCGCGUGAGGGACGAAGGCCUUCGGGUUGUAAACCUCUUUCAGCAGGGACGAAGCGAAAGUGACGGUACCUGCAGAAGAAGCACCGGCCAACUACGUG
RNAcentral lists this ribosomal RNA (465 nucleotides) under uncultured bacterium. RNAcentral describes it as "partial 16S ribosomal RNA". It matches the Rfam family "Bacterial small subunit ribosomal RNA", at positions 28 to 507 of the family's 1533-position model. The record is from RNAcentral.